This 406-nucleotide ribosomal RNA is filed under the name uncultured bacterium. Its description in RNAcentral is "partial 16S ribosomal RNA". It matches the Rfam family "Bacterial small subunit ribosomal RNA", at positions 30 to 526 of the family's 1533-position model. The record is from RNAcentral.
AUUGAACGCUGGCGGCAAGCCUAACACAUGCAAGUCGAACGAGUGGCGGACGGGUGAGUAAUGUCUGGGAAACUGCCUGAUGGAGGGGGAUAACUACUGGAAACGGUAGCUAAACCCGAAUACAAUCGGAUGUGCCCAGAUGGGAUUAGCUAGUAGGUGGGUAAAAGGCUCACCUAGGCGACGCUCCCUAGCGGGUCUGAGAGGAUGACCAGCCACACUGGAACUGGGACACGGUCCAGACUCCUACGGGAGGCAGCAGUGGGGAAUAUUGCACAAUGGGCGCAAGCCUGAUGCAGCCAUGCCGCGUGUAUGAAGAAGGCCUUCGGGUUGUAAAGUACUUUCAGCGGGGAGGCGUUACCCGCAGAAGAAGCACCGGCUAACUCCGUGCCAGCAGCCGCGGUAAUAC